Molecule: long non-coding RNA, 431 nt
Organism: Cynara cardunculus var. scolymus (artichoke)
Lineage: Eukaryota; Viridiplantae; Streptophyta; Magnoliopsida; Asterales; Asteraceae
Exons: 2
Source: RefSeq, a predicted model, not a curated record
CGCAUGGACAUCUAAAUCGCAGGUACGCCCAAUCUGUGUUGAAGACGCAUACGGAUUCUUAAUCGCACAAUCACCUUGAACGGAGUCCACUUUAUCGCUUGGCAUCACUGCAGAGACAGGUCCCCUGUGUGCAAAAGAUUAUAUUUCUGUGAAGUGAAAGAAUGCAGUAUUGAAGCUGUUGCUGUUUGAGUUUGAAGUUCAGAAUCACCUGGAUAUAGCAAAUGCUUAACAGAGAAGAGUAGAGGAAUUACAUUUGUUAGUUGCUGUGUGUUUGUGAUUUUGUGAGCUGGAACAGCAACCCAGACUUCAUCUUCCUCACACAUUGAUUUCUAGAACUGUGUUAGAGAUAUUGCAAAGCUUGAGGUUUGCUUACUGUCUACAUUACAUAAUCUGUUUUGAGUUCAAUAUUGAAACAGCCUGUUUUGAGCUCC